RNAcentral lists this ribosomal RNA (894 nucleotides) under uncultured archaeon. Its description in RNAcentral is "bacterial SSU rRNA". It matches the Rfam family "Archaeal small subunit ribosomal RNA", at positions 17 to 921 of the family's 1478-position model. The record is from RNAcentral.
CCGGACCUGACUGCUAUCGGAUUGGUACUAAGCCAUGCGAGUCAUUGUAGCAAUGCAAGGCGGACGGCUCAGUAACACGUAGUCAACCUAACCUAUGGACGUGGAUAACCUCGGGAAACUGAGAAUAAACCACGAUAGAUCAUGAUGCCUGGAAUGGCUUAUGGUCCAAACAGUUUACUGCCAUGGGAUGGGACUGCGGCCUAUCAGCUUGUUGGUGAGGUAAUGGCCCACCAAGGCGAUUACAGGUACGGGCUCUGAGAGGAGAAGCCCGGAGAUGGGUACUGAGACACGGACCCAGGCCCUAUGGGGCGCAGCAGGCGAGAAACCUUAGCAAUGUGCGAAAGCACGACUGGGUCAGUCCGAGUGAUUCCUGAUAAAGGAGUCUUUUGCCUGUCCUAAAAGCACAGGUGAAUAAGGGGUGGGCAAGUCUGGUGUCAGCCGCCGCGGUAAUACCAGCACCUCGAGUGGUCAGGACGUUUAUUGGGCCUAAAGCAUCCGUAGCCGGCUCUGCAAGUCUUCGGUUAAAUCCACCUGCUCAACAGAUGGGCCGCUGGAGAUACUACAGAGCUAGGGAGUGGGAGAGGCAGACGGUAUUCAGUGGGUAGGGGUAAAAUCCUCUGAUCCAUUGAGGACCACCAGUGGCGAAGGCGGUCUGCCAGAACACGUUCGACGGUGAGGGAUGAAAGCUGGGGGAGCAAACCGGAUUAGAUACCCGGGUAGUCCCAGCUGUAAACGAUGCAAACUCGGUGAUGCAUUGGCUUAUGGCCAAUGCAGUGCCGCAGGGAAGCCGUUAAGUUUGCCGCCUGGGAAGUACGGACGCAAGUCUGAAACUUAAAGGAAUUGGCGGGGAGCACCACAAGGGUGAAGCCUGCGGUUCAUUGGAGUCAACGCCGG